This 491-nucleotide ribosomal RNA is filed under the name uncultured bacterium. Its description in RNAcentral is "partial 16S ribosomal RNA". It matches the Rfam family "Bacterial small subunit ribosomal RNA", at positions 29 to 506 of the family's 1533-position model. The record is from RNAcentral.
AGUGAACGCUGGCGGUAGGCCUAACACAUGCAAGUCGAACGGCAGCACAGUAAGAGCUUGCUCUUACGGGUGGCGAGUGGCGGACGGGUGAGGAAUACAUCGGAAUCUACUUUUUCGUGGGGGAUAACGUAGGGAAACUUACGCUAAUACCGCAUACGACCUACGGGUGAAAGCAGGGGAUCUUCGGACCUUGCGCGAUUGAAUGGCCGGUGUUCGGAUUGGCUAGUUGGCGGGGUAAAGGCCCACCAAGGGGACGUUCCGUAGCUGGUCUGAGAGGAUGAUCAGCCACACUGGAACUGAGACACGGUCCAGACUCCUACGGGAGGCAGCAGUGGGGAAUAUUGGACAAUGGGCGCAAGCCUGAUCCAGCCAUACCGCGUGGGUGAAGAAGGCCUUCGGGUUGUAAAGCCCUUUUGUUGGGAAAGAAAAGCAGCAGGUUAAUACCCCGCUGUUCUGACGGUACCCAAAGAAUAAGCACCGGCUAACUUCGU